RNAcentral lists this ribosomal RNA (305 nucleotides) under uncultured bacterium. RNAcentral's name for it is "bacterial SSU rRNA". It matches the Rfam family "Bacterial small subunit ribosomal RNA", at positions 337 to 639 of the family's 1533-position model. The record is from RNAcentral.
ACCUACGGGGGGCAGCAGUGAGGAAUAUUGGUCAAUGGGCGGAAGCCUGAACCAGCCAAGUCGCGUGAGGGAAUAAGGCCCUACGGGUCGUAAACCUCUUUUGCCGGGGAGCAAGGGCCGGGAUGCGUCCCGGCCCGGAGAGUACCCGGAGAAAAAGCAUCGGCUAACUCCGUGCCAGCAGCCGCGGUAAUACGGAGGAUGCGAGCGUUAUCCGGAUUUAUUGGGUUUAAAGGGUGCGUAGGCGGGCUUUUAAGUCAGCGGUAAAAAUUUUGGGCUCAACCCCGUCCGGCCGUUGAAACUGGGGG